CCUACGGGCGGCUGCAGUGGGGAAUAUUGGACAAUGGGCGAAAGCCUGAUCCAGCCAUGCCGCGUGUGUGAAGAAGGCCUUCGGGUUGUAAAGCACUUUCAGUGGGGAAGAAAGCCUUGGGGCUAAUACCCUCGAGGAAGGACAUCACCCACAGAAGAAGCACCGGCUAGCUCCGUGCCAGCAGCCGCGGUAAUACGGAGGGUGCGAGCGUUAAUCGGAAUUACUGGGCGUAAAGCGCGCGUAGGCGGUCUGAUAAGCCGGUUGUGAAAGCCCCGGGCUCAACCUGGGAACGGCAUCCGGAACUGUCAGGCUAGAGUGCAGGAGAGGAAGGUAGAAUUCCCGGUGUAGCGGUGAAAUGCGUAGAGAUCGGGAGGAAUACCAGUGGCGAAGGCGGCCUUCUGGACUGACACUGACGCUGAGGUGCGAAAGCGUGGGUAGCAAACAGGAUUAGAUACCCCGGUAGUC
RNAcentral lists this ribosomal RNA (465 nucleotides) under Vreelandella stevensii. RNAcentral's name for it is "partial 16S ribosomal RNA". It matches the Rfam family "Bacterial small subunit ribosomal RNA", at positions 338 to 795 of the family's 1533-position model. The record is from RNAcentral. Lineage: Bacteria; Pseudomonadati; Pseudomonadota; Gammaproteobacteria; Oceanospirillales; Halomonadaceae.